CCCCAAGGGAGAACCACUCCAUCAAUCACACCCACUUAACUCUCUCCGGGCUUGAGGCCGAGGAGCCCCUCCGCGCAGCGCCGCAGCCGCGCGGGACGCGUGAGGAAUAGGAAAUGAAGCAGGGCCUUGGGCAGAGAACUGGCAGGAGAGUGGGAAGCAGAAGAGGAGUAAGAUUUAGUGGGGCAAAUACUAUCGUUCAGUGGGGAGACAAUGGACAGAAGGGAUCUGGAAUGAAAGGAGACACAGGGGAGCUCCAUAAACCAGGAAGGCUGAACCACUCAAGCACCACAUGGUGGGGAAAACUCAGAAUUGGACUGGACCAUUUUGAAGAGUGGGCAUGAUCCAUGAUCCAGAUCAUACCAAGCAUCUUUAACCAUAAGGACACAGCCUGGACCAGAUCAUAAGAGGGGCAUGCUGUAGCAUCUAAGUCUACACUGGACACCCAACCCAUGAUCGCGCCUCUGCUUGGACCCUCCUGCUGAGACUCACUGGUGCCUGACAUCUGUCUGUACUGCUGCCCUGACAUCUGUACACAAGCCAGUUUGAGUUCUAGCCCCAGGGCAUGUAGACCCUCUUCCUUUAGCUCUGUGUCCCCUCCAACCUCAUCAAGACACCAGACAGUCAACCCCA
Long non-coding RNA from Microcebus murinus (gray mouse lemur), 630 nucleotides. RefSeq lists it as uncharacterized. Lineage: Eukaryota; Metazoa; Chordata; Mammalia; Primates; Cheirogaleidae. The record is from RefSeq and is a predicted model, not a curated record.